Long non-coding RNA from Sapajus apella (tufted capuchin), 305 nucleotides. RefSeq lists it as uncharacterized. The transcript is spliced from 3 exons. The record is from RefSeq and is a predicted model, not a curated record. NCBI's taxonomy places the organism in Eukaryota, Metazoa, Chordata, Mammalia, Primates, Cebidae.
UGGAAUUUCUCUGAAUGGGCUUUGGCUUAAGGGAAUGUUGUGGCUGAUCUGGUCUUCUAUCCAGACCACUAAAACUUCCUCCAUAUCAACAAUAAAGCUGUUUCACUUUCUCAUCAUUUGUGUGUUCAGUGGAGUAGCACUUUUAAUUCCCUUCAAGAACUUUUUCUUUCCACUCACAACUCAGCUAAGUGUUUGGUACAAGAGACCCAGCUUUUAGCCUCUCUCAGCUUUCAAUAUAGCUUCCUCAUUAAAUGUAAUCAUUUCUAGUUUUUAAUUGAAAAUUGAGACUUAUGCAACUUUUCCUU